This 28-nucleotide non-coding RNA is filed under the name Cricetulus griseus (Chinese hamster). The record is from RNAcentral. Lineage: Eukaryota; Metazoa; Chordata; Mammalia; Rodentia; Cricetidae.
CAGAUCAGUGCGUCAGACAAGGAGCUCU